GACGAACGCUGGCGGCGUGCCUAAUACAUGCAAGUAGAACGCACAGUUUAUACCGUAGCUUGCUACACCAUAGACUGUGAGUUGCGAACGGGUGAGUAACGCGUAGGUAACCUGCCUGGUAGCGGGGCAUAACUAUUGGAAACGAUAGCUAAUACCGCAUAAUAUUAAUUAUUGCAUGAUAAUUAAUUGAAAGGUGCAAUUGCACCACUACCAGAUGGACCUGCGUUGUAUUAGCUAGUAGGUGAGGUAACGGCUCACCUAGGCGACGAUACAUAGCCGACCUGAGAGGGUGAUCGGCCACACUGGGACUGAGACACGGCCCAGACUCCUACGGGAGGCAGCAGUAGGGAAUCUUCGGCAAUGGACGAAAGUCUGACCGAGCAACGCCGCGUGAGUGAAGAAGGUUUUCGGAUCGUAAAGCUCUGUUGUAAGAGAAGAACGGGUGUGAGAGUGGAAAGUUCACACUGUGACGGUAUCUUACCAGAAAGGGACGGCUAACUACGUG
This 505-nucleotide ribosomal RNA is filed under the name uncultured bacterium. RNAcentral's name for it is "partial 16S ribosomal RNA". It matches the Rfam family "Bacterial small subunit ribosomal RNA", at positions 28 to 507 of the family's 1533-position model. The record is from RNAcentral.